GGCCAAGGUACCCUUUUUAUUUUGAUUAUGUUUAUACAGUGGUUUGGUUGCAAUUAUAAAAUAUUCUAUACCCUUUACCUGUAUUCAACUUUUAGAUUGGUCUGUUGUUCUGUUUGCUCAGUAAUUUCUUUUAUAACAUUUUCAACUUGGUUAGCAUUUCUUGACUAAUGUUUGGCUUCAGUGAACGCCCAAAUAAAUUUCAUUAACAUGAUUCUCUUGGAAGUAUUUAAAAGUGCAAAAAUUGUUGACAUGCUUGUUUCCAAUUCCAGUCUAUUUCAUCAUAUUUAGCAUCUAAUUUAUACACUGAAAUAAUUUUCUCUUGUCUAGAUGCAACUGAUGAGAUGUUCUUUUGUGAUAUCUCAUAUUAUUUUUGUUUUAUUUAUUGGUUUGUUGCAUAAAUAAAAUUAGGAAUCUUUUAAAGCCAUUGAUCCUCGGCUGCUAAUAAAAAUCAAACUGUGUGUAGGAUGGAUUUCAAGAUGA
This 480-nucleotide unclassified non-coding RNA is filed under the name Hevea brasiliensis (rubber tree). The record is from RNAcentral. Lineage: Eukaryota; Viridiplantae; Streptophyta; Magnoliopsida; Malpighiales; Euphorbiaceae.